RNAcentral lists this ribosomal RNA (253 nucleotides) under uncultured bacterium. Its description in RNAcentral is "partial 16S ribosomal RNA". It matches the Rfam family "Bacterial small subunit ribosomal RNA", at positions 524 to 776 of the family's 1533-position model. The record is from RNAcentral.
UACAGAGGUCCCAAGCGUUGUUCGGAUUCACUGGGCGUAAAGGGUGCGUAGGCGGUCGGGUAAGUCUGACGUGAAAUCUUCAAGCUCAACUUGGAAACUUCGUCGGAUACUAUUCGGCUAGAGGAAUGGAGGGGAGACUGGAAUACUUGGUGUAGCAGUGAAAUGCGUAGAUAUCAAGUGGAACACCAGUGGCGAAGGCGAGUCUCUGGACAUUUCCUGACGCUGAGGCACGAAAGCCAGGGGAGCAAACGGG